This 547-nucleotide ribosomal RNA is filed under the name Staphylococcus aureus. RNAcentral describes it as "partial 23S ribosomal RNA". It matches the Rfam family "Bacterial large subunit ribosomal RNA", at positions 513 to 1062 of the family's 2925-position model. Lineage: Bacteria; Bacillati; Bacillota; Bacilli; Caryophanales; Staphylococcaceae. The record is from RNAcentral.
GGUGAAAAGCACCCCGGAAGGGGAGUGAAAUAGAACCUGAAACCGUGUGCUUACAAGUAGUCAGAGCCCGUUAAUGGGUGAUGGCGUGCCUUUUGUAGAAUGAACCGGCGAGUUACGAUUUGAUGCAAGGUUAAGCAGUAAAUGUGGAGCCGUAGCGAAAGCGAGUCUGAAUAGGGCGUUUAGUAUUUGGUCGUAGACCCGAAACCAGGUGAUCUACCCUUGGUCAGGUUGAAGUUCAGGUAACACUGAAUGGAGGACCGAACCGACUUACGUUGAAAAGUGAGCGGAUGAACUGAGGGUAGCGGAGAAAUUCCAAUCGAACCUGGAGAUAGCUGGUUCUCUCCGAAAUAGCUUUAGGGCUAGCCUCAAGUGAUGAUUAUUGGAGGUAGAGCACUGUUUGGACGAGGGGCCCCUCUCGGGUUACCGAAUUCAGACAAACUCCGAAUGCCAAUUAAUUUAACUUGGGAGUCAGAACAUGGGUGAUAAGGUCCGUGUUCGAAAGGGAAACAGCCCAGACCACCAGCUAAGGUCCCAAAAUAUAUGUUAA